AUACGUAGGUGGCAAGCGUUGUCCGGAAUUAUUGGGCGUAAAGCGCAUGUAGGCGGUUUGGUAAGUCGGUCGUGAAAAUGCGGUGCUAACGCCGUAUGGCGAUUGAAACUGCUGAACUUGAGUGCAGGAGAGGAAAGGGGAACUCCCAGUGUAGCGGUGAAAUGCGUAGAUAUUGGGAAGAACACCGGUGGCGAAGGCGCCUUUCUGGACUGUGUCUGACGCUCAGAUGCGAAAGCCAGGGUAGCGAACGGGAUUAGAUACCCCGGUAGUCCUGGCCGUAAACGAUGGGUACUAGGUGUGGGAGGUAUCGACUCCUUCCGUGCCGGAGUUAACGCAAUAAGUACCCCGCCUGGGGAGUACGGCCGCAAGGCUUAAACUCAAAGGAAUUGACGGGG
RNAcentral lists this ribosomal RNA (395 nucleotides) under uncultured bacterium. RNAcentral's name for it is "partial 16S ribosomal RNA". It matches the Rfam family "Bacterial small subunit ribosomal RNA", at positions 523 to 918 of the family's 1533-position model. The record is from RNAcentral.